CGCUGCUCUUUUAAUUCGUGUUUGUGCUUUUACAUUACGCUGCACGAGGAGGCCUCGCCUGGAUGCUCGUAUUUGCUAUUUCUUCUCUCUUCUUCUUAAAUCUUCUCUGUAAACGGCCACUUCCUGUACCUCUCCAUUCGAAUCUAGGGUUUUGUUUUGCUUCUUCAUUGAUUUAAAUUAAUCUUCUCAAUUUCACCAAUCGUUACACUCUCGGAUCCGAUCCGUCCACUAUUCANNNCAAUUUUUACUUUCAUUUCAGAAAAAAAAAAUCUCACUAUUUUUUCUGUUUUCAGAAAGCUUCAGAUGGGGCGAGAAUUUUAAUUUCGCUGGAGUUUCUUUUUUUUUUUUUGAUAAACAAUUCUAAGUUCGUUCGGUAGUGAAUUGAUUUUGGAGAGUUUUUUAGGUGAGUGUUAGGAUUAAGGUUAGUCAUGUUCUAUGGUGCAGUGGUAUGGGAUCCAUGG
RNAcentral lists this unclassified non-coding RNA (461 nucleotides) under Hevea brasiliensis (rubber tree). The record is from RNAcentral. Lineage: Eukaryota; Viridiplantae; Streptophyta; Magnoliopsida; Malpighiales; Euphorbiaceae.